CGGUAAUUCCAGCUCCAAUAGCGUAUACUAAAGUUGUUGCAGUUAAAAAGCUCGUAGUUGGAUUUCUGCGGGGACGGAGCGGCCGGACGCAACUUGCGUCUCGAGCUAGCGCUUUCCCCGCAUCCUGCCGCGAACCGUGCUACCAUUAGUUUGGUGGCGCUGGGGAUCGGCUCGAUUACUUCGAGAAAAAUAGAGUGUUCAAAGCAGGCCACACGCCUUGAAUAAGUUAGCAUGGAAUAAUGACUAAGGACUUCGGUUCUAUUUUGUUGGUGUUCGGGACUGAAGUAAUGAUUGAUAGGGACAGUUGGGGCGGUCUGUAUUCCAAAGCGAGAGGUGAAAUUCUUAGACCUUCGGAAGACAAACAGCUGCGAAAGCGUUCCGCAAGGAUGUUCCCUUUGAUCAAGAACGAAAGUUGGGGGAUCGAAGACGAUCAGAUACCGUCGUAGUCUCAACUAUAAACUAUACCAGCUAGGGAUCGGUCAACGUUUAAUUAUUCGACUUGAUCGGCACCUUAUGAGAAAUCAAAGCAUCUGGGUUCCGGGGGGAGUAUGGUCGCAAGGCUGAAACUUAAAGGAAUUGACGGAAGGGCACCACCAGCCGUGGAGCCUGUGGCUUAAUUUGACUCAACACGGGAAAACUUACCAGGUCCAGACAUAGUAAGGAUUGACAGAUUGAUAGCUCUUUCUUGAUUCUGUGGGUGGUGGUGCAUGGCCGUUCUUAGUUGGUGGAGUGAUUUGUCUGGUUAAUUCCGUUAACGAACGAGACCCCAGCCUGCUAAAUAGCGCGGCUGAGCUUUGCUCGGUGCGAGCUUCUUAGAGGGACUAUGAUGCGCGAUAGCACAUGGAAGUUUGGGGCAAUAACAGGUCUGUGAUGCCCUUAGAUGUUCUGGGCCGCACACGGGCUACACUGGCGCCUGCAACGAGCAUAUCAGCUGGCCCGAGAGGGUCUUGGCUAAUCUUUUGAACCGGCGCCGUGCUUGGGAUUGACCUUUGCAAUUGUUGGUCAUGCAACGAGGAAUGCCUUGUAAACGCGAGUCAUCAGCUCGCAUUGAAUACGUCCCUGCCCCUUGUACACACCGCCC
This 1081-nucleotide ribosomal RNA is filed under the name uncultured Rhizaria. Its description in RNAcentral is "SSU rRNA". It matches the Rfam family "Eukaryotic small subunit ribosomal RNA", at positions 577 to 1674 of the family's 1831-position model. The record is from RNAcentral.